This 143-nucleotide non-coding RNA is filed under the name unclassified sequences. Its description in RNAcentral is "RT-14 RNA". It matches the Rfam family "RT-14 RNA". Rfam says of the family: Cloacimonetes, Firmicutes, Proteobacteria. Nearby to self-splicing intron genes The record is from Rfam by way of RNAcentral.
CUCUCCCUCUAAGCCAGAUGCCGGGCGUCUACGGGCGCCCGGAGAGUGCCGAGGGGAAAAGGAGCCGGACUCCUUCUCCGCAAGGGGAAAACAUUAACAGGCGCGGACGACUGGUAGGCGUAUGCCGAAGGCCGUCCGCACCG